UCGACACACUAUCAUUAACUGAAUCCAUAGGUUAAUGAGGCGAACCGGGGGAACUGAAACAUCUAAGUACCCCGAGGAAAAGAAAUCAACCGAGAUUCCCCCAGUAGCGGCGAGCGAACGGGGAGGAGCCCAGAGCCUGAAUCAGUGUGUGUGUUAGUGGAAGCGUCUGGAAAGGCGCGCGAUACAGGGUGACAGCCCCGUACACAAAAAUGCACAUAUUGUGAGCUCGAUGAGUAGGGCGGGACACGUGGUAUCCUGUCUGAAUAUGGGGGGACCAUCCUCCAAGGCUAAAUACUCCUGACUGACCGAUAGUGAACCAGUACCGUGAGGGAAAGGCGAAAAGAACCCCGGCGAGGGGAGUGAAAAAGAACCUGAAACCGUGUACGUACAAGCAGUGGGAGCCUCUUAAUGGGGUGACUGCGUACCUUUUGUAUAAUGGGUCAGCGACUUAUAUUCUGUAGCAAGGUUAACCGAAUAGGGGAGCCGAAGGGAAACCGAGUCUUAACUGGGCGUUAAGUUGCAGGGUAUAGACCCGAAACCCGGUGAUCUAGCCAUGGGCAGGUUGAAGGUUGGGUAACACUAACUGGAGGACCGAACCGACUAAUGUUGAAAAAUUAGCGGAUGACUUGUGGCUGGGGGUGAAAGGCCAAUCAAACCGGGAGAUAGCUGGUUCUCCCCGAAAGCUAUUUAGGUAGCGCCUCGUGAAUUCAUCUCCGGGGGUAGAGCACUGUUUCGGCAAGGGGGUCAUCCCGACUUACCAACCCGAUGCAAACUGCGAAUACCGGAGAAUGUUAUCACGGGAGACACACGGCGGGUGCUAACGUCCGUCGUGAAGAGGGAAACAACCCAGACCGCCAGCUAAGGUCCCAAAGUCAUGGUUAAGUGGGAAACGAUGUGGGAAGGCCCAGACAGCCAGGAUGUUGGCUUAGAAGCAGCCAUCAUUUAAAGAAAGCGUAAUAGCUCACUGGUCGAGUCGGCCUGCGCGGAAGAUGUAACGGGGCUAAACCAUGCACCGAAGCUGCGGCAGCGACACUAUGUGUUGUUGGGUAGGGGAGCGUUCUGUAAGCCUGUGAAGGUGGCCUGUGAGGGUUGCUGGAGGUAUCAGAAGUGCGAAUGCUGACAUAAGUAACGAUAAAGCGGGUGAAAAGCCCGCUCGCCGGAAGACCAAGGGUUCCUGUCCAACGUUAAUCGGGGCAGGGUGAGUCGACCCCUAAGGCGAGGCCGAAAGGCGUAGUCGAUGGGAAACAGGUUAAUAUUCCUGUACUUGGUGUUACUGCGAAGGGGGGACGGAGAAGGCUAUGUUGGCCGGGCGACGGUUGUCCCGGUUUAAGCGUGUAGGCUGGUUUUCCAGGCAAAUCCGGAAAAUCAAGGCUGAGGCGUGAUGACGAGGCACUACGGUGCUGAAGCGACAAAUGCCCUGCUUCCAGGAAAAGCCUCUAAGCAUCAGGUAACAUCAAAUCGUACCCCAAACCGACACAGGUGGUCAGGUAGAGAAUACCAAGGCGCUUGAGAGAACUCGGGUGAAGGAACUAGGCAAAAUGGUGCCGUAACUUCGGGAGAAGGCACGCUGAUAUGUAGGUGAAGCGACUUGCUCGUGGAGCUGAAAUCAGUCGAAGAUACCAGCUGGCUGCAACUGUUUAUUAAAAACACAGCACUGUGCAAACACGAAAGUGGACGUAUACGGUGUGACGCCUGCCCGGUGCCGGAAGGUUAAUUGAUGGGGUUAGCGGUAACGCGAAGCUCUUGAUCGAAGCCCCGGUAAACGGCGGCCGUAACUAUAACGGUCCUAAGGUAGCGAAAUUCCUUGUCGGGUAAGUUCCGACCUGCACGAAUGGCGUAAUGAUGGCCAGGCUGUCUCCACCCGAGACUCAGUGAAAUUGAACUCGCUGUGAAGAUGCAGUGUACCCGCGGCAAGACGGAAAGACCCCGUGAACCUUUACUAUAGCUUGACACUGAACAUUGAGCCUUGAUGUGUAGGAUAGGUGGGAGGCUUUGAAGUGUGGACGCCAGUCUGCAUGGAGCCGACCUUGAAAUACCACCCUUUAAUGUUUGAUGUUCUAACGUGGGCCCCUUACCGGGGUUGCGGACAGUGUCUGGUGGGUAGUUUGACUGGGGCGGUCUCCUCCUAAAGAGUAACGGAGGAGCACGAAGGUUGGCUAAUCCUGGUCGGACAUCAGGAGGUUAGUGCAAUGGCAUAAGCCAGCUUGACUGCGAGCGUGACGGCGCGAGCAGGUGCGAAAGCAGGUCAUAGUGAUCCGGUGGUUCUGAAUGGAAGGGCCAUCGCUCAACGGAUAAAAGGUACUCCGGGGAUAACAGGCUGAUACCGCCCAAGAGUUCAUAUCGACGGCGGUGUUUGGCACCUCGAUGUCGGCUCAUCACAUCCUGGGGCUGAAGUAGGUCCCAAGGGUAUGGCUGUUCGCCAUUUAAAGUGGUACGCGAGCUGGGUUUAGAACGUCGUGAGACAGUUCGGUCCCUAUCUGCCGUGGGCGCUGGAGAACUGAGGGGGGCUGCUCCUAGUACGAGAGGACCGGAGUGGACGCAUCACUGGUGUUCGGGUUGUCAUGCCAAUGGCACUGCCCGGUAGCUAAAUGCGGAAGAGAUAAGUGCUGAAAGCAUCUAAGCACGAAACUUGCCCCGAGAUGAGUUCUCCCUGACUCCUUGAGAGUCCUGAAGGAACGUUGAAGACGACGACGUUGAUAGGCCGGGUGUGUAAGCGCAGCGAUGCGUUGAGCUAACCGGUACUAAUGAACCGUGAGGCUUAACCUUACAACGCCGAAG
This 2778-nucleotide ribosomal RNA is filed under the name Escherichia coli. Its description in RNAcentral is "partial 23S ribosomal RNA". It matches the Rfam family "Bacterial large subunit ribosomal RNA". The record is from RNAcentral. Lineage: Bacteria; Pseudomonadati; Pseudomonadota; Gammaproteobacteria; Enterobacterales; Enterobacteriaceae.